UUUAAAAGUGUUUUAAUUACAAAUGUGGUUUUGAAGCCAGGACACACAAUGCCGACACCCUCCUGCUGAGAACCCACACUGUGUACAGCUGCAUGUGUGCGGAGGCGGACACGCACAGUGGUGAGGACACCCCCGAGGCGGGUCACACAUGCAUGACAGGGACAGGUCGACUGUCGUGCGUGCAGGACUCACUCUGUGUGAGGGCGUGGCCU
This 212-nucleotide long non-coding RNA is filed under the name Bos taurus (domestic cattle). Its description in RNAcentral is "long non-coding RNA NONBTAT005534". Lineage: Eukaryota; Metazoa; Chordata; Mammalia; Artiodactyla; Bovidae. The record is from RNAcentral.